UUUUUUUAGAAAUAAAUUUAAUUUACAAGUUUUUAAUUUUUUGGUUAUUUAUUUAAUUUAAAAAUUUAAUUAUUUGACUAUCUUAAGGGAUAAGCUUUAAGAUAAAUUGUUAAAAAUUAAUGUUUAUAAUAUAAAAUGUAUGCUUAGAAUUAGCAAUCGUUUACAAGUUUGUUAUAAAUUAUUUUAUUUGUUGUAUUAUUUAAUUAUAUUUUGAUUUGUUUAUAAAAAUUUUUUUAUUAAUAUAAUAUAAAAAGAAAUAAUGAUAAAAUUAGUAUAUUAGUUGUGUUUAAAUAAUUUAAUAUGAUAAGUUUAUAUAAAGAACUCGGCAAAAAUUUUACCCGCCUGUUUAACAAAAACAUGUCUUUUUGAGUUAUUUUUAAAGUCUGACCUGCCCACUGAAUUUUUAAAUGGCCGCAGUAUUCUAACUGUGCAAAGGUAGCAUAAUCAUUAGUCUUUUAAUUGA
RNAcentral lists this ribosomal RNA (463 nucleotides) under Dacus pedunculatus. RNAcentral's name for it is "partial 16S ribosomal RNA". Lineage: Eukaryota; Metazoa; Arthropoda; Insecta; Diptera; Tephritidae. The record is from RNAcentral.